GUUGGAACUGGAUGAUCUUUAAGGACCCUUCCAACUGUAAUGUUCAAACCAUUCUACGAUUCUCUGAAGUCACAGCAUCCCAUCAUCCAGAGCAUCCCACCACGGCACCAGCCUGGGGCAGCUCCCCAUGACCUAUGGGACUUCCCCUGCUCCCGAAACCACCGGGGUUGAGCAAAUCGGGGGCUGGAGGGAGGGUAUUUCCUGCAAAUGAGGCAGAUUAUACUUUCCCAUGGUGUACUUUUCAGCCGAGGGCCAAGAAGGGAAGAGCAGCGUGGCUUCCCCUAUCUGCUGCCACCACAGGAAGCUCCAAGCAACCCGUAGGGCUUGGUCUUUAGGGAAGUUGGUUGUUGGAGGCAGUUUCAGCACUUCCAGGAGCAACUUGGCCUGAAAAAACCCUCGGCGGAGGGGAGGAACCCAGCCCGGCCUCCGAGGUGGCCCAUUGCCCACCUCAGGGACAAGGUUGGUUCCAUCCCAUCUCGUUCCAGGUCUGGAAAUUGGCCCCGAGGGGUGGGAGAGGAGGGUUCUCCCUCCGUUGCCCGCGUGGGACGUUUGGGAAGCCUCAUCCCGUGUUUUCCCAGCGCCAUCGUGAUGAAUUGGCAGAGUGGAAGCUGUCUUGACCUUUAGAUGUUUCUAAAUAAAAAAAGAAAAACAAACAGGAUGGGUCAGGUGAGUGAAAUGCAGCUUUUGCCCUGUCAUGGCCGGAAUCAUGUAUUUUUAUUCCCCCCCCUUUGCUGCAGGUUGACAGCAUCUGCCAAAAACGAGGCUUCUGCUCCGCUUGGACAAAGGACGUUUCUGCCUUGACUGUACCCGUGGUCAAUGAUUAACUGGAAUUCUCAGUCCCCUCAGCCCGGGCAGUGCAGGAUGUGACUCCAAUCGGGCCACCAAAAAUGGGAAUCUCACUGGAGACAUCCUCAUUGACCACCUGCCCCACGGCGAUGCUCUCCGCACUGAAGAAGUUCUCCACUUGCAACGAGUGUCCUUCCUGGAAUGGGCUCCCUGAUAAAACAUGGAUUUCCAGUUAAGGAUGAAAUCUGGAAAUUGGAAUUAAAAAAAAUACCCACAGGAGUAUACUUUCUACCCCUAAACAUACUGGUUUCCAGUCAGCUUUCAAACGCUGCCCCUUCCCUCCUGGAGCAGGCUCAGUGUGGGAGGCUCAGCUGCGCGGUGAGAGUCAGAAACACACUAAAAGAUAACAAAUUGAAUUCCCAAUUCGACUCCUUCACUCAUUUCCCUUUUUUUUUCGGUUUUAAGAAGCUCCUUCCACUGCAAUUCCUUUUAUACCUUUCCUAAGAAAGCCCCCACGCCAGCUCAACCAAUCCCAAACCACCAUCAAACCAAGAUUAUUUCAGUAUUGGAAGAAACUUCAGUGGAUUAGAACUUUUUUCCGCUUUUUCGUUAACAAAAAUAACAACACUGGGAGUCCACGCUGCCCGUUUGUGAGGCUUGGAAGCCCCUGGGCUUUUAUUCCAGGUGUGGAAUGUGACAGUGACCUGGAAUAAUCCCCUUUGCCAGCUGAGUGAGGCACUAAAAGGUUAAAUAUUGCCCGUGGACCUACAGAGCAGAGAGAAGCACUGUUUGAAUGAAUGCUACAUCUGAGCACGACUGCCCAGGUAAGGAAACACAAAUAGUACCAUUUCCUACCAUUUCUCUCCUCUUUGGGGUGAAAGCAGAGCAACCGGUUGGUUUUCAUCAAGUCCUAAACUUUGGGACACCCUCAGUCAGGUCCCUCCUGGAAGGACUCUCGAAGCCCAGCAAGUUCUUGGCUGCAGUCUCAUGUCACAACCACACUCAACACCUCUAACCAUCUUCAUGACCUUUUCAUCCUUUCCCACCACUCCCACCUUUAGGAGGAACCCAUCAGGUUGGGGAAUACUCCAGAUAAGCAUAAACUCCUUUCUAUCAUCUAACAGAUCCUACAGAUUUUGGUAGCCUUUUCCAAAAACCACCAAAAAAAAACCCAAAUAGAUUCAACACCGAGUUGAAGGUGUUUACCUUGAACCAGAUCACCAAAUCACAGAAUAUCUCCAGUUGGAAGGGACCUAUAAGGACCAUGGAGUCCCCCAUAAAUCUUUAAAGUCACUUUCAAGCUCACAGCUUCUUUUUUCUGGGUUAAUAAAGCAGAUUCCCAUUUUUUCUCUCA
This 2140-nucleotide long non-coding RNA is filed under the name Calidris pugnax (ruff). RNAcentral describes it as "lncRNA (ENSCPUG00000015641.1)". Lineage: Eukaryota; Metazoa; Chordata; Aves; Charadriiformes; Scolopacidae. The record is from RNAcentral.